GUAGUCGUGGCCGAGUGGUUAAGGCGAUGGACUUGAAAUCCAUUCGAAUCGCGCAGGUUCGAAUCCUGCCGACUACG
Non-coding RNA from Acipenser ruthenus (sterlet), 77 nucleotides. The record is from the annotation of a RefSeq genome assembly. NCBI's taxonomy places the organism in Eukaryota, Metazoa, Chordata, Actinopteri, Acipenseriformes, Acipenseridae.